GACGAACUGUGCAAACGUUAUUCGGAAUCACUGGGCUUGAAGAGUGCGUAGGCGGUUUCGUAAGUAGGGUGUGAAAGCCCCCAGCUCAACUGGGGAACUGCGUCCUAAACUGCGAGGCUGGAGUGAGGUAGGGGUGUGUGGAACUUCCGGUGGAGCGGUGAAAUGUGUUGAUAUCGGAAGGAACGCCGGUGGCGAAAGCGACACACUGGGCCUUGUCUGACGCUGAGGCACGAAAGCUAGGGGAGCAAACGGG
Molecule: ribosomal RNA, 253 nt
Filed under: uncultured bacterium
Lineage: Bacteria
Description: partial 16S ribosomal RNA
Rfam family: Bacterial small subunit ribosomal RNA
Source: RNAcentral